CCGUCUCCCCCCCCGUCUCUCCGGUGCCGCUUCGCCUCCGUUCCCUCCUCGUGCGCCAUGUUGUCGGGUUGAACCCCGUUUCUUCUUGUUUUAAAAUGAGUGCGUCCAGGGUGUCCAACGUGUCCUUUCACGUCUCCAACCUGUUGGAUAAGAUGACGUCAUCUGACAAAGACUUUCGCUUCAUGGCCACCAACGACCUGAUGCUGGAGCUGCAGAAGGACAGCACGAAGCUGGACGAGGACAGCGAGAGGAAGGUGGUGACGAUGGUCCUCAGGCUGCUGGAGGACAAGAACGGGGAGGUCCAGAACCUGGCGGUCAGAUGCCUGGCCCCUCUGGUGAGCAAGGUGAAGGAGCCUCAGGUGGAGACGAUGGUGGACACGCUGUGUUCCAACAUGACGUCGGACAAGGAGCCGCUGAGGGACAUCUCCAGCAUGGGACUGAAGGCGGUGAUCGCUGAGCUGCCUCUGUCUUCAUUAGGUUCCAGCCUGACGGUCGGCGUCUGUAAGAAGAUCACCUCCCAGCUGAUGGCCGCCCUGGAGAACCAGGAAGACGUGUCGGUUCAGCUGGAGGCUCUGGACAUCCUGUCAGACAUGUUGGGAAGGCUGAGCGGGGCACUGGUCAGCUUUCACAGCUCUCUGCUCUCCAGUCUGCUGCUUCAGUUGACCAGCCCCAGGAUGGCGGUAAGGAAGCGCUCCAUCUUGGCUCUCGGCCACCUGGUGCCCUGCUGUAGUCCCGCCCUCUUCGCCCAGCUGACUGAACACCUGAUGACCGAGUUGGCCAAAGACCCGCCCACUUCGAUGACGAGGACGUAUAUCCAGUGUCUAGCAACCGUCAGCCGUCAGGGAGGCCACCACGUCGGGGAACAUUUAGAGAAGCUGAUCCCGAUGGUGGUGAGUUUCAUCUGUGUGGAGGACGACGAGCUGAUCGAGUUUUGUCUCCAGGCCUUUGAAGCCUUCAUACGCAGGUGUCCUAUGGAGAUGUCUCCUCAUAUCCCGACGGUCACACGGCUUUGUCUUAAGUUCAUGACCUUUGACCCCAACUACAACUAUGAUGAAGAGGAAGAGGAGGAGGAAGAAGACAGCAUGGACGUGGAGGACGGACUGGAGGAAGACUCAGAUGAAGCGUACAGCGAUGAUGACGACAUGUCCUGGAAGGUGCGUCGCUCCUCCAUCAAGUGUCUGGAGGCCCUGAUGGAUGCUCGCCGGGACCUCCUGCUCUCCUUCUACUCCUCCAUCUGCCCCGCCCUUCUCGCCCGGUUCAAGGAGCGUGAAGACAACGUCCGGGCCGACGUCUUCGCCGCCUUCUCCACGCUGUUGAGGCAAACGCGGGCGGCAUCAAAUCGCGGGGGCCUCGGGGCCGCCUCAGAGCCGGCGGCGAGUCGGGAGGAGGAGGAGGAGGAGCCAGGGGUAGUGAUGCUGAAGAGACAGGUGCCCCUCAUAGUGAAGGCUCUCCACAGACAGCUGAAGGAGAAGAGCAUCAAACACCGUCAUGGCUGCUUCACUCUGCUCACUGACCUCAGUCACACAGCACCUGGAGCGCUGGAGCCACACAUACCUGCUCUGAUACCAGGCAUCAUCUUCUCUCUGACAGACCGCUCCACCUCCUCCACCAUGAGGAUCGAUGCCCUCUCCUUCUUCCAUGUUCUCCUCCUCUCUCAUCCUCCUCAAGUCUUUCAGCCUCACAUGAGGGUGCUGCUGCCCCCGGUGGUGGCCUGUGUGGAGGACUCCUUCUAUAAGAUCACCUCUGAGGCUCUGCUCGUUGCUCAGCAGCUGGUCCGAGUGAUGAAGGCGCCGGCACAGAGCACCACGGCGUCGGGAAUCGACCCCGCCGCCUUCGUCAGGCAGGUGUUUCCCAUCAUCCUCAAGAGGCUGAAAGCCGCAGACAUUGACCAGGAGGUGAAGGAGAGGGCCAUUUCCUGUACAGGUCACCUGGUGUGUCACCUAGGCGACCACCUGGGGGUGGAGCUUGUGGGCGUCCUGGCCAUCUUCCUCGAGAGGUUGAGGAACGAGAUCACGAGGCUGACAGCCGUCCGCACCAUCACACUUAUCUCCGCCUCACCUUUAAAGAUCGACCUGGCCUCCAUCCUCCCGGAGACGCUGUCCGUUCUGGGGUCCUUCCUAAGGAAGAACCAGCGAGCCUUGAAGCUGGCCACGCUGGCCUGUCUGACCGCGCUGGUCCAGCAUCACGCCGCCGGCAUCAAACCCGCGGCACUGGAGCCCGUCCUGAGCGAGCUGCCGGCUCUGGUGGACGAGAGCGACAUGCACGUGUCACAGGUGUCCAUCUCCCUGCUGACCUCCAUGUCCAGAGCCUGCUCCUCCUCCGUGGCAAAGAUCUGCUCCUCCGUGCUGCCAGAUGUCUUUAGACUGGUCCAUUCUCCUCUGCUGCAGGGAGGCGCACUCGCAGCCAUACUGGACUUCCUGCAGGCACUGGUCCAGUCCAAAACCAAUAACCUGGGCUACAGUCAGUUGCUGAAGUCCCUCACAGACCCAUUCCACACCUCCCAGUCCUCGCUCCUCCACAAACAGUCCUACCAGUCUGUAGCUCGUUGUGUAGCUGCUCUGGCCUCCUCCUGUCCUUCACAGACACCGGCCACGGUGGCAGGACUCCUGCAGGAGGUGAAGAACCCAGGUUCUCCUGAGUCUGCUCGGGUCCUGGCUCUGCUGUGUCUGGGGGAGGUGGGGAGGAGCGGCAGCCUGGGAGCUAGUAAGGACGUGCAGGGAGUCAUCCUGGAGGCCAUCUCCUCCUCCAACGAGGAGGUGAAGACGGCGGCCUCCUGCGCUUUAGGCAGCAUGGCGGUCGGCAGCCUGGACGACUACCUGCCCUUCCUUCUGAAAGAGAUCUCCUCCCAGCCCAGGAGACAGUACCUCCUGCUGCACUCCCUCAAGGAGGUCAUCAGCGCCUGUGCAGCCUCCAGUCUCUCCCCCCACGUGGAGUCCAUCUGGACUCUACUCCUCCGGUACUGUGAGUGUGAUGAGGAAGGGACCCGGAACCUGGUGGCCGAGUGUCUGGGGAAGCUGACUCUGGUGAAGGCUGCUCAGCUGCUACCGAGGCUGAGACAGCAGCUCACUGCUGGUUCUCCUCUGACUCGCAGCACCGUGCUGACGGCCGUUAAGUUCACCAUCGUAGACCAACCGGCCGCCAUCGACGCUCUGCUGAGGGACUGCAUGGGUAGCGCACACAAAGACACACACACUCGUCCCGUUGGUUUGCUACUCACAGGUGCUCCUCCUCUGCUCUGCAGGUGACUUCUUGAAGACGUUGCAGGACGAGGACAUCAACGUGCGCCGCGUCUCCCUGGUGAUGUUCAACUCCGCCGUCCACAACAAGCCGUCUCUGAUCCGCGGUCUCCUAGCAACCGUGCUGCCUCACCUGUACCGGGAGACCCAGAUCAGGAAGGACCUCAUCAGAGAGGUGGAGAUGGGUCCCUUCAAGCACUCGGUGGACGAGGGGCUGGACCUGCGUAAAGCGGCAUUCGAGGUCAUGUACUCGCUGCUGGACGGCUCGCUGGAGGGUCUGGACCUCCUACAGUUUCUGGACCACGUGGAGGAAGGCCUGAAGGACCACUACGACAUCAGGGUGUGAGGGGGGGCACAGAACCAGAACCAGCCAUGAGGAUAAACCAUGUACCACUUGCAGCUGUUAUUCUUCUAGCUAUGCUAACCUUCCUGAUGCUAGCCAGACUAGCUUCUCUUUGUCCUGCUGCUGUUCUCCAACGUCUGGACCGACUCAUCGAGCCUCUGAAGGCCACCUGCACCACCAAGGUGAAGGCCGGCUCCGUGAAGCAGGAGUUUGAGAAGCAGGAGGAGCUGCGGCGCUCGGCCAUGCGCGCCGUCGCCGCCCUGCUGGCCGUGCCGGGCAUGGAGCGCAGCCCCAGCCUGGCGGACUUUGCCAACCAGAUCAGAACCAACGCCGACAUGGCGUCCAUCUACCAGAGCGUCCAGGGGGGUGAGGGCCCCGUGGAGAGCAUGGACAUCAGCUAAAAUCAGGAGCCCUUUAAUGACACGUAUGUUACACAUACAGGGACUUGUUUCUGUGAUUGGUCCGGUUUGCGAGACAAAUAGAAUAAAAAAUAAUAAGAAUAAAAGAAUAAAAUCCAAUAAAAGUGGUUGAUUUUUGGGAUAAAGCACCUGCAGGAUUUCAGUCCAUGAAGCUACAGAAGCCCAGAAGAGAGGGGGGGGGGGAGUUAUGUUCCCUAAAGGCCACCGUAGUUCUCUCCAGUGUCCAGAUAGAGGACACAAAGUCCUGCCCACUGUCCCUCUGAGGACGCACUCUGUGGACUUCUCCUUGUUUGGCUGAGCUCACAUUUCUUUUAUGACAUCAUCGUGUAAAAUCAGCUGUGGUGUUUCUCCAUCUGAUGACAACAUGAAUAUGACACUUAGCUCAGAUGCACUGUGGGUCACGUGCUGGUGAGUUUAACUGGCUUAAUUGUUAGUGAGGUCAUCUGGUGACUAAAUCACCCGCAGGAGGCUGAAUUGUUGUCUGUCUCCAUGUCAGCCGGGGUGUACCCCUUAAGGCCCAUAGUAUGACCUCCGACCCCUCCGAGCUGCUGGAGGAUCAUGAGGUGGUCGAUGUCUGGAGGGAAUGGACACGACAGACAGCACACGUGGGCUCAUGCCAGAGGGGGAAGGUUUUAUUGUUUUAAACACUUCAACAUCUAUAGAAAGCGCAGCGUGCCGCCUGCUGGGUGCACUGACCAGCUCUGGUUCUGUGCAACGUUUGUGUCUCAAAUGGGAGAUCAAAAAGUGCAUACUGGCAUUUUAACACGCCUCUCUUACGAGAUGCACAUUUUAAGGAGGUUUUGCCUCUUAGACACAGUGGUGCGAUCGGGGGAAAGUCUCUGUCAGCAGGACACUCGCAUGUCACACGGGACGUCUCCAGAUCUAUGGGAGAUCUGGAGACUGGAAUUGUGGAACUGUUCUUGGCAGAAUCCACUGGAAAUCGAGAUCAUAUUGAAGAUCUCAAAACGAAAAAAUCUGCUCUUGCAGACCUGCUGGGCACGAAGGCUCGGGGGGCCAUCAAAGUCUUUCUUCGGUCUGGAGAAGAAGAACUGGUCGUUUCCACAGCUCUGAUUCAGGGAGGAGCUCAGAGACGCAAACGACAUCCAGAAGUUUUCACUUACUUUACUCUGACGAGUAUGAGAACAUUAAUGAGCUACCAAAGGUCUGAAGAGGUGAAUGCCUGGCAGACGAACUGGACUCGGCUCUGCAGGGCACGGGGGGGGGGGGGGGGGGGGGGGGGGGGGGUCCCAGGAUGGGCUUCCGGUGGAGCUUUACAAAGAGCUCUGGAGCGAGAAUGAGGAGGAUCUUCUAACCGUGUUCAACGAGAGUUUUAAAGACAUUUGUUUCUUGUUAUUGGUCUGCUUGCUAUGUUUAUUUCUCGUACAUAUUCUUUGAAGUAAAAUAAAGGUUUUCUAAAAACAACUA
Gasterosteus aculeatus aculeatus (three-spined stickleback) is the source of this 5423-nucleotide non-coding RNA. NCBI's taxonomy places the organism in Eukaryota, Metazoa, Chordata, Actinopteri, Perciformes, Gasterosteidae. The record is from RefSeq and is a predicted model, not a curated record.